This 248-nucleotide long non-coding RNA is filed under the name Elaeis guineensis (African oil palm). RNAcentral's name for it is "long non-coding RNA (EGUI_LNC073483)". Lineage: Eukaryota; Viridiplantae; Streptophyta; Magnoliopsida; Arecales; Arecaceae. The record is from RNAcentral.
ACAUUGUAAUCUUUUUAGAAGAAGAGUAGUAUUCCAAACUCUUUUAGGAUGAGCUUUAUAGAUCUAUUUUCUAAUAUAUCCACCUGCUGUCAUUGACAUAGGCUAGACAUUCUUGGAUCUUGAAAUAACCAAGAUUCAGUUCUCACCAUGCCAUAUCUCAUACGGUGUGGUAGAACAGGUUUAGAAAAAAUUUAAUUUCAUAAAAUUAAAGCAAGUCCUUAAAGAAAUAAAUUAGUGAAGUUCAUCAU